Molecule: non-coding RNA, 89 nt
Organism: Coniochaeta sp. 2T2.1
Lineage: Eukaryota; Fungi; Ascomycota; Sordariomycetes; Coniochaetales; Coniochaetaceae
Source: the annotation of a GenBank genome assembly
GCUGGCAUGGUAUAGUAGUUAAGACACUCCCCUCCCAUUCUUAAAUAGAAGGCAAGGGAGAAACCCGGGUGCAAAUCCCGGUGCUAGCA